RNAcentral lists this ribosomal RNA (210 nucleotides) under uncultured bacterium. Its description in RNAcentral is "partial 16S ribosomal RNA". It matches the Rfam family "Bacterial small subunit ribosomal RNA", at positions 568 to 775 of the family's 1533-position model. The record is from RNAcentral.
CGUGUAGGCGGAUAGGUAAGUCAGAUGUGAAAUUUCGGGGCUCAACCUCGAAGCUGCAUUUGAAACUGCCAAUCUAGAGGGUUGACGGAGAAAACGGAAUUCCACGUGUAGCGGUGAAAUGCGUAGAUAUGUGGAAGAACACCAGUGGCGAAAGCGGUUUUCUAGUUAAUACCUGACGCUGAGGCGCGAGAGCAAAGGGGGAGCAAAACA